RNAcentral lists this transfer RNA (61 nucleotides) under Precis archesia. Its description in RNAcentral is "tRNA-Arg". Lineage: Eukaryota; Metazoa; Arthropoda; Insecta; Lepidoptera; Nymphalidae. The record is from RNAcentral.
AUAAGAAGCAAUUUUGCAUUUAGUUUCGACCUAAAAGAAAGAGUAAAUUACUCCUUAUUUA